RNAcentral lists this ribosomal RNA (301 nucleotides) under uncultured bacterium. Its description in RNAcentral is "partial 16S ribosomal RNA". It matches the Rfam family "Bacterial small subunit ribosomal RNA", at positions 509 to 807 of the family's 1533-position model. The record is from RNAcentral.
CAGCAGCCGCGGGAAUACGAGGGGGGCAAGCGUUGUUCGGAAUUAUUGGGCGUAAAGGGUGCGUAGGCGGUUCAGCAAGUCUUAUGUGAAAUCUUCGGGCUCAACCCGAAGUCUGCAUAGGAAACUACUGGGCUUGAGUAUUGGAGAGGUGAGUGGAAUUUCCGGUGUAGCGGUGAAAUGCGUAGAUAUCGGAAAGAACACCUACGGCGAAAGCACUCUGCUGGGCCGACACUGACACUGAGAGACGAAAGCUGGGGGAGCAAAUGGGAUUAGAUACCCCAGUAGUCCCUGUCUCUUAUAC